AGGAUAAUAGUUAAAUUAACAUUAAAUUUGCAAUUUAAAAAUACUGAUCUCAGUUUAUCUUA
This 62-nucleotide transfer RNA is filed under the name Nephus reunioni. RNAcentral describes it as "tRNA-Ala". The record is from RNAcentral. Lineage: Eukaryota; Metazoa; Arthropoda; Insecta; Coleoptera; Coccinellidae.